This 447-nucleotide ribosomal RNA is filed under the name uncultured bacterium. Its description in RNAcentral is "bacterial SSU rRNA". It matches the Rfam family "Bacterial small subunit ribosomal RNA", at positions 330 to 793 of the family's 1533-position model. The record is from RNAcentral.
UCCAGACUCCUACGGGAGGCAGCAGUGGGGGAUAUUGCACAAUGGGGGGAACCCUGAUGCAGCGACGCCGCGUGGGUGAAGGAGCGUUUCGGCGCGUAAAGCCCUCUCGGCAGGGAAGAAGGAGGACGGUACCUGACUAAGAAGCCCCGGCUAACUACGUGCCAGCAGCCGCGGUAAUACGUAGGGGGCAAGCGUUAUCCGGAUUUACUGGGUGUAAAGGGGGCGCAGACGGCAGCGCAAGCCAGGAGUGAAAGCCCGGGGCCCAACCCCGGGACUGCUCUUGGAACUGCGCGGCUGGAGUGCAGGAGGGGCAGGCGGAAUUCCUGGUGUAGCGGUGAAAUGCGUAGAUAUCAGGAGGAACACCGGUGGCGAAGGCGGCCUGCUGGACUGCGACUGACGUUGAGGCCCGAAGGCGUGGGGAGCAAACAGGAUUAGAUACCCGCGUAU